This 305-nucleotide ribosomal RNA is filed under the name uncultured bacterium. RNAcentral's name for it is "bacterial SSU rRNA". It matches the Rfam family "Bacterial small subunit ribosomal RNA", at positions 333 to 652 of the family's 1533-position model. The record is from RNAcentral.
AUCAUCCUACGGGGGGCAGCAGUAGGGAAUUUUCGUCAAUGGGCGCAAGCCUGAACGAGCAAUGCCGCGUGCAGGAAGAAGGUCUUCGGAUUGUAAACUGUUGUCGCAGGGGAAGAAGACAGUGACGGUACCCUGUGAGAAAGUCACGGCUAACUACGUGCCAGCAGCCGCGGUAAUACGUAGGUGACAAGCGUUGUCCGGAUUUACUGGGUGUAAAGGGCGCGUAGGCGGGAUAGCAAGUCAGUCGUGAAAUGCCGAGGCUUAACCUCGGAGCUGCGAUUGAAACUGUUAUUCUUGAGUAUCGG